Molecule: ribosomal RNA, 496 nt
Filed under: uncultured bacterium
Lineage: Bacteria
Description: partial 16S ribosomal RNA
Rfam family: Bacterial small subunit ribosomal RNA
Source: RNAcentral
GAUGAACGCUGGCGGCGUGCCUAAUACAUGCAAGUCGAGCGAACAGACGAGGAGCUUGCUCCUCUGACGUUAGCGGCGGACGGGUGAGUAACACGUGGAUCACCUACCUAUAUGACUGGGAUAACUUCGGGAAACCGGAGCUAAUACCGGAUAACAUGUUGAACCGCAUGGUUCAACAGUGAAUGACGGUCUUGCUGUCACUAAUAGCUGGAUCCGCGCCGCAUUGGCUGGUUGGUAAGGUAACAGCUUACCAAGGCAACGAUGCGUAGCCGACCUGAGAGGGGGUUCGGCCACACUGGAGCUGAGACACGUUCCAGACUCCGAGGGGAGGCAGCAGUAGGGAAUCUACCGCAAUGGGCGAAAGCCUGACGGAGCAACGCCGCGUGGGUGAAGAAGGUCUUCGGAUCGUAAAACUCUGUUAUGAGGGAAGAACAAAUGUGUAAGUAACGAUGCACGUCUGGACGGAACCUAAUCAGAAAGCCACGCCUAACUACGU